GUGAGGCGGGGCCAGGAGGGUGUGUGGCGUGGGUGCUGUGGGCUCAGGUGUGCCUGCAGGAGGCUCACCUGGCUGGCCCGCCCAG
Molecule: microRNA precursor, 85 nt
Filed under: Pan troglodytes (chimpanzee)
Lineage: Eukaryota; Metazoa; Chordata; Mammalia; Primates; Hominidae
Description: miRNA (ENSPTRG00000043087.1)
Source: RNAcentral